AGGAAAAAAUAUGUACUAAUAUUGCUCAAAACAGAAGGCUUCUAUGUUGGCAUAACUUAUGUUCAGAAUGCUGUUGCAAAAGGAGCAGUUUGUUUGGAUGGGUCUCCCCCGGCUUACCAUCUUGAUAAGGGGUUUGGAGCAGGAAUUAACAAUUGGUUGGU
Molecule: non-coding RNA, 161 nt
Organism: Camellia sinensis
Lineage: Eukaryota; Viridiplantae; Streptophyta; Magnoliopsida; Ericales; Theaceae
Source: RefSeq, a predicted model, not a curated record